UGGUCCAGACUUUGAUUAUGGCUCAGGAUGAACGCUAGCUACAGGCUUAACACAUGCAGGUCGAGGGGAAACGACAUCGAAAGCUUGCUUUUGAUGGGCGUCGACCGGCGCACGGGUGAGUAACGCGUAUCCAACCUGCCCAUCACUUGGGGAUAACCUUGCGAAAGUAAGACUAAUACCCAAUGACGUCUCUAGAAGACAUCUUAAAGAGAUUAAAGAUUUAUCGGUGAUGGAUGGGGAUGCGUCUGAUUAGCUUGUUGGCGGGGUAACGGCCCACCAAGGCGACGAUCAGUAGGGGUUCUGAGAGGAAGGUCCCCCACAUUGGAACUGAGACACGGUCCAAACUCCUACGGGAGGCAGCAGUGAGGAAUAUUGGUCAAUGGGCGAGAGCCUGAACCAGCCAAGUAGCGUGCAGGAUGACGGCCCUAUGGGUUGUAAACUGCUUUUAUAAGGGAAUAAAGUGAGUCUCGUGAGACUUUUUGCAUGUACCUUAUGAAUAAGGACCGGCUAAUUCCGUGCCAGCAGCCGC
RNAcentral lists this ribosomal RNA (529 nucleotides) under uncultured Bacteroidota bacterium. RNAcentral describes it as "bacterial SSU rRNA". It matches the Rfam family "Bacterial small subunit ribosomal RNA", at positions 1 to 518 of the family's 1533-position model. The record is from RNAcentral. Lineage: Bacteria; Pseudomonadati; Bacteroidota.